Molecule: long non-coding RNA, 1521 nt
Filed under: Homo sapiens (human)
Lineage: Eukaryota; Metazoa; Chordata; Mammalia; Primates; Hominidae
Description: GOT1 divergent transcript, transcript variant 13 (GOT1-DT)
Source: RNAcentral
GAGCGAGCGGCGGGUGUCCCUGAGAGGCCACCUUUCGACCUUCGAGGGCCAGGAGGAUACGGGGAGGUGGCCGGAGGGAGUUCCCGAACACAGGUCUUCCUGUUCCCGCCGAGCAGGUGUUGGCGGUGCCAGGCCCGGCCUGGCGGGCCCGGGCUGGCAGCCAAAUACCCAGCGUCUGUGCUCGGGACGGGAGUGUUCGUCCAGGACGUGCAGCUCCGGAGCCUGCGCGGGCGACCUUGACCACCUUUGUCGGCUGUUUCCCCCUGAGGGAAGUAUACCUGUCCUGCCAGCCUUGGUCUCUGGCAGGGAAGGUCCUUCCAACAGAGAGGGAAUUGCUUAGAAUUGACUCAACACUGCCUCCUUGCUGAAUGGAUAAUUCAAGCAAACAACUCAAGAGCUGGAUGCUGCCCAGACAGGUAGGCAGCCAGAUAAAGUGAGUGUCCAGGGAAAGAGCAGUAAGGGUCAGAAGAGAAAGAGCCUGGUGUUCUCACUGCCUCCUGCCUUCCUUAUGACUGUCUGUUCAGAAGUCCUCCUAGCAUCUUUCUUCUGCCUUCCCCUGCUCCUGUCCCUGAAACCUUUUCUUCAAAAGAAGUGGAAAAGAGGAACUGGGAACCCAUAUAGCAACAGCAUCACCUGGAAUGAAUUCCUUUAGAACAUACUGUCUUGGAAAUCUGAAGCCUGCAGGGCUGGACAGGCAAGAAGAGCAGUGAGCACUGCAUGAACCUUUCUCUCCUUCCCUCCCUUACGUAUGACUCCUCCCAUAAUCCGCACACAUGGAUUGAACCAAGUGAGGGUAUUUUUCUGUUUCCUACCUCAUAGAAGGGCAUAGAGUGGACACGGUCUAAGGCAUGUACUCCGAAAUAUUUUUCAAAUGGAAAAGAAAACAGAGAACACAAUUUUCAAAAUAUCUAGAGCCCUCCAAGAAGUCUUUGUAGAGAUCUAUAAAAUCUCAAGGCAAUUUAAAGAAUAGAAAAAUGUUUUAGAAACACUAUUCUCUCCACAUCCUGGGGCAGCAGCCUUCUCCAAAGAAACAGAAAGAAGGAAAUGGAUUGCCUUAGCAAAAAAACAAAUGAAGACACUCCAAAUAACAGAAGAAUGGGAAGGCUACAGACCUUGAAGUCAGAAGAAAAUUUCCUCUCCUUGCCCCGUUUCUCCUUAAAUGGAUCACCAGUACAGUCUCUUACUUCUAGAGCCAUGUUAAGCUUUCUUCCCCAAAGUUGUAAUGUCCUUCUUUUGGUUGUGUCGUGUCCUAAAAUCCUACUCUUUGGUACAAGAUGAAGGUAUAUGAAGAGAUAAUGAAGGAAACAAAUUCAAUGUGUUUGCCAAGAACACAGUCUUUUAAAUAACUCUUAAAGGGUUCGUUUAAAACAGUGUAAUAAAUUGUGGUAAUCUAGUACACAAAGCUAGUAGGAACCUCGUUUAUUAAUAAUAUUUCAACAUUGAGCAGUAGAGGGCAGCACUAUCCUUCUUUUGCAAAAUGUUGAGCACUCUUGAGAAGGAAAAUAAAGGCAAAGCUCCUGA